RNAcentral lists this ribosomal RNA (444 nucleotides) under uncultured bacterium. RNAcentral's name for it is "SSU rRNA". It matches the Rfam family "Bacterial small subunit ribosomal RNA", at positions 26 to 518 of the family's 1533-position model. The record is from RNAcentral.
AGAAUGAACGCUGGCGGCAUGCCUAACACAUGCAAGUCGAACGAGACCUUUCGGGGUCUAGUGGCGCACGGGUGCGUAACGCGUGGGAAUCUACCCUUGGGUUCGGAAUAACAGUUGGAAACGACUGCUAAAUACCGGAUGAUGUCUAACGACCAAAGAUUUAUCGCCCAGGGAUGAGCCCGCGUAGGAUUAGGUAGUUGGUGUGGUAAAGGCGCACCAAGCCUACGAUCCUUAGCUGGUCUGAGAGGAUGAUCAGCCACACUGGGACUGAGACACGGCCCAGACUCCUACGGGAGGCAGCAGUGGGGAAUAUUGGACAAUGGGCGCAAGCCUGAUCCAGCAAUGCCGCGUGAGUGAUGAAGGCCUUAGGUUGUAAAGCUCUUUACCGGAUGAUAAUGACAGUACCGGAGAAUAAGCUCCGGCUAACUCCGCGCCAGCAGCCGC